GAUGAACGCUGGCGGCGUGCCUAAUACAUGCAAGCCGAGCGAACGGACGAGGAGCUUGCUUCUCUGAUGUUAGCGGCGGACGGGUGAGUAACACGUGGAUAACCUACCUAUAAGACUGGGAUAACUUCGGGAAACCGGAGCUAAUACCGGAUAAUAUUUUGAACCGCAUGGUUCAAUAGUGAAAGACGGUCUUGCUGUCACUUAUAGAUGGAUCCGCGCUGCAUUAGCUAGUUGGUAAGGUAACGGCUUACCAAGGCAACGAUGCAUAGCCGACCUGAGAGGGUGAUCGGCCACACUGGAACUGAGACACGGUCCAGACUCCUACGGGAGGCAGCAGUAGGGAAUCUUCCGCAAUGGGCGAAAGCCUGACGGAGCAACGCCGCGUGAGUGAUGAAGGUCUUCGGAUCGUAAAACUCUGUUAUUAGGGAAGAACAUAUGUGUAAGUAACUGUGCACAUCUUGACGGUACCUAAUCAGAAAGCCGCGGCUAACUACGUG
RNAcentral lists this ribosomal RNA (497 nucleotides) under uncultured bacterium. RNAcentral's name for it is "partial 16S ribosomal RNA". It matches the Rfam family "Bacterial small subunit ribosomal RNA", at positions 28 to 507 of the family's 1533-position model. The record is from RNAcentral.